ACAGAGGCACACAGGUAUUUUGUGACACUUUUGUGAGAAUAGCUAAAUGCACUCACUAGGAAAAAUUCUUGGAAAAAGAACAGAAUAUAACUACUGGUAAAUCAAUCCAUUAUGUUUUAGGAGAUUAUCUGGUUUUGACUUAAAAGCAAGCUAAUGAUCCAGGAUACAUCAAGUAUUCAAAUUCAAGAUUCUCUUAACAUCAAUCCACAGACAACAUCUCUUCCAUUUUAGACAGCUCUGUGUCAUUAAGACCACUUACUACUAAGCCUUGUUGAAAACCCAAGAGCACAGCUAGGACCAGAUCAGCUUUUGAAGGUGGCUAUGAUGCAAAACUAGUUUGAAUUCACACAAGGGGAGAACCCAUUUCUAACAGUGAGGAAGGAAGACUAAAACUACUUAACAACAGGAGGAAACCUACCUGCUCCAAUUUCAUUU
Long non-coding RNA from Neopsephotus bourkii (Bourke's parrot), 435 nucleotides. RefSeq lists it as uncharacterized. The transcript is spliced from 3 exons. NCBI's taxonomy places the organism in Eukaryota, Metazoa, Chordata, Aves, Psittaciformes, Psittacidae. The record is from RefSeq and is a predicted model, not a curated record.